RNAcentral lists this non-coding RNA (27 nucleotides) under Rattus norvegicus (Norway rat). Lineage: Eukaryota; Metazoa; Chordata; Mammalia; Rodentia; Muridae. The record is from RNAcentral.
UAGGCUAUAAAUCUUAUCGAAGGUCCC